Molecule: long non-coding RNA, 698 nt
Filed under: Anser brachyrhynchus (Pink-footed goose)
Lineage: Eukaryota; Metazoa; Chordata; Aves; Anseriformes; Anatidae
Description: lncRNA (ENSABRG00000003053.1)
Source: RNAcentral
AAAGGGUGAUUUCUACUCCCAUCCAUAUCGGGUUGGCCACAUAUACCCUGUUGGCUAUGAGGAAAGUGUUUGCUUUCCCUCUGGCCCUCGGGCAGUCCCAGCAUGUUGGAGUGAUGAGAGAGUUAUGAAUUUGUUGAUGCUGCAACACUCUUCCUUAGGACAGGUGUAUGCUAAGAAAAUGAAAAGACUGUACCUACAGUAGCCAGAGUCCACAAAGUUGCACUGGAAGUCAGGCUGGUGAGACAUUUCCAGAAGCUGAUAGGGUGGCAGAGGCUCAGUAGUGAGAGGAUAUGCUGGUGCCCAUAUCCAUCUGGAGCACCAAGGACCACAGGAGGUGACCUCGCCCUGGGCUCCCGGAGCUGCCCCAGUCUAGUGAGGCUGUAAGGACAUCCCUGCAUUCCCCCUCACUGUGACCCCAGGCAUGCAGUCACACUGUUCACAUCCUGCAGCGAGGCCACCUUUUCCUCUUGAGCUGGCCAGCACCUCCCUAUGCCCCGGCAGAAGCUGUCACAGUAAUGUCACUGCACAGGGGCUGCCCAGCCCUCUGCUGCUGGAGACUCAUCCAUGGCUCAGCCUCAGUCAGCCCUUCUGAUUUAUUCUCCCUUUGGUUAAAUAUUUCUGCCAUGAACACUAGUGUAACAUUAAUAAAAUUUCUAUUUCCAUUCAGUUCUGUGUUGUUGCGAACUGCAUUUCUCUGA